Bacillus rossius redtenbacheri is the source of this 11520-nucleotide long non-coding RNA. RefSeq lists it as uncharacterized. The transcript is spliced from 2 exons. Lineage: Eukaryota; Metazoa; Arthropoda; Insecta; Phasmatodea; Bacillidae. The record is from RefSeq and is a predicted model, not a curated record.
AGUUAAGUAGGUAUGUUUCAUUGUUAAAAGUUGUAUGAUCUAUCUCAUGUUUGAAGAUAGUUCAUUUUUCAUAAUAAUUAAGUUGGUGUCGCCAGCGUUUGCCAUGUUAAAAGAUCUGAGUUUCCGAUAUUUUCUUACUACAAUAUUUGCUAAAAACGUAAAAGAAAAUCGGUUUUACAGUAAGCCUACUUAACAGUGUUCAUGGCAAUGUGAUUAGAAAAAUGGAGUUGUCUAGUCAAUGCAUUAAUAUUGUAGAAUUCGGUAUGCCUGAAAUUCACUAUAGACUCGUAUCACGAACCAAUAAAAACAUGUCUUUGCACACAAAAAAGGAUUCUGACAUUGGUUGUAGUUUUUUCCCUCCUAUGAGCUGUCGGGAAAAACCCACCAGCUUACAGCAACAUCCGCCACGUUUCCCACCUGUGAUUUAUCCGGAUUUCACCCCUCAAGAAGCGAACUCGGAUCGCCUCGGUAGGAGCGAGUGGUGUGACCACUAAUCAAUUUGGUUAAGAAAAGUUUUGUUCGACUCAACAGUUUAGUGUUUUCGUGUUUUACUUUUAAGAAAAAAACAAAGAUUGUGUUGGAUUCUUCCCCCUACUACUGACAUAAAUUAUUUUAUAAAUAAGAUUUCGAUACAAGGUUAAAUAUGCUCAAUUCUUACACUUUAUUGCAUUGCACAUUCUCCGCUUGGAUAUCCUUGUAGUUUCCACUUACUCCGCCACUAGCAGCACCUCCUGGAGUAGCUUGUAUAUGCUCUUUAUUAGCUAACUCUACACACGACUCUUCUGCAGUGUCACAUCACUCGGCACGUCCAUUUACGACUAUCAGUAUUGAAUUUGCAAUUGACACCAUUUUGCUUUAAAUCGUGUUAAAAAAUUGGCAGCAAUAUCAAGAGAAACUAGCACAUAUAUUAACAGUGAUGGAACAUACAAAUGCAAACACUGCAAUUGUUAUGGUGAAACUGCCCCGUGCAAGUUAAGGCAACACAGCUGGGUAUACUGAUUAUAAACAUGUUACAUUAUUUUUUGAAUGAUUACAAAAUAUAUUGGUUCCAGCAUAUAGCUGGAACAUAUCGCUGGAAGAGGUUGCUGGAACAUAUAAUUGGAGGUCAAACCAGCCAUGAUACCCUGUGCCAGUGUGCCCUUCAUUACACAUUAUACUUAUUACCAUUAUUCCAGUUGACACGUGGUCGGGUGGUAUGGGGGUUUAGAAGGCGGUGUUAAGCUAACAUGUUUUUAUUAAUAAAGGAAUGAGUUGCCAGACUGUAGUUAGCGUAGCACGUAGAAGGCGAGGCAUAGAGAUAUGAUAUUGGGAUAUGGAUUCUCCUUGGAAGGUUCGUUUGCUCCUUGUCAUUUUUUAUUUCAUUCCUUUUUAGCGAAUUUUAAAAACGUUCUAGGACAACGGCUUUUGUAUUGUUGGCGAUGAUGUCUUGUCUUAAAAAAACGGCUAUUGAAUUGUUGAAGUUAACUACUUCUCCAUGGCAAUAGCUACUGCGGGCGAAUAGUCCAUGGAUCAAGGGAACCGCCAGAACUUCUACUUUUAUAUUUUCAUUUAUAAUCUGAAUCUGUUUUUGAAAUACGUUAUUACAGUAGUAUCACUAACAAUAUAUAUGACAAGACAGGGAAUAUAUAUUUUUUUCAUGCCCAUGAAAACAUUUAGUAAAUGUAGACACUGUGUGUGUGUGUUGUGUAACUAUUUUAACAAUGUAGAUUUUUAUUCUCCGCAAAACCUUUUUUGUGACAGUCAAAUUUGGCUUUUACUAAUAGACACUGUGCUAGGGUUCACAAAUGUGUGCUGCAUCAAGUCGAUGUCAGGUGUUCAUUGGCUGUAGACACAUUCUCCUUUCUCUCCGGGUCGCACGUGAUUUGGUCAGUUGUUUUAUAGUCCUUCAGGAAGUGUCAAAUAAUAGUGGCUUGAUUAUUUUGCGGAUUCAUAGGGUAGCAGAGUAGACUUGAAGCGCACACACAACAUUGCCCUUGAUAUGUUCUUGACGACCCUAAGACAGGUCUAUAAAGAAUUGCUUACCCAAACACAUGCAACCCUCCAAAAAAUGUGAUUUUGUUAUCAAUGAGAACUUUAAAAAGCUUGAUUAUAUAAAGGUAAGCAUAGUCUAGCCUGAUCUGAAAUGAAUCCUCUGAAACUCAAUGAAUCUGAAAUGAAUCCUCUGAAACUCAAUGAAUCUGAAAUGAAUUGUGCUAGCCAAAGACAACGUUGUAAAUGUUUAAAAAAAAUGGCACAGUUUUACAAGAUUUUGUUAUUUUACAUUAUUUCGGUAAAUACACUUAAGGAAAAUUGUAAUUACUUGAACCGGGAAAUGUCAAGUUAUAAUUACAAGAUAUAGUUUCAAGCUAGGGUUGACUGGCUACUAGCACAGCAAAUUGGCGUACAAUUAUCUAGAUACUCUUUAACAUGGAGUGCCAUAUAUCGGCAGUGGGCGCAACUUACUGAGUCCAUUAAUCAUGUCAUGGUAUGAGAGCACACAGAAGUUCUGUAUCAAUACAUACUACUGAUUUGCACUUUAAUGAGAACCUGUUUGUAAACUUUGCAAAUUUCUUUAUUCCAUGUACAAAUGUUUGCUGAUCAUAUAUCAAUCUCGUUAAUAAACCUUGAAUUAAGGUGAUUAUGAAUGCGUAAUCGGACACAUUUAUGAAUGUUGAAUGUUUGUAAAUGUGUGUCGACACCUGGAGAUCUCCAGAGAACGACUGUUAUUGGCGCUUGUUCUCGCUUGUUUUCGCUUGUUCUCGCGAUCACGAGUGAUGCCGCCACCACAUCCUCGUUAGUUGGUGUCUCAUGAGCAUGCGCGACAAUAUCGCAGAUAUAACAAGCUUUCGUGAUAAAGGGAAGUCAGCCUGAGGAUGUAGAAAGUACCUUGUGAACUUUGCCGCAAUGAACUGAUGAAACAAGGGGGAGGGGGGAGAAAAAAAACCAGCGGAUUGUAUGGAAAUAAUCCCCAGCUCGUGCCCGAACAGUAGACGUGACUGUUGUUGGAAAAGAACACGCUGCUGACUGUGGUUGCGAUAAAGCUCGAGCCGAGUUUUCGAGACGUAUUCCUGCUAGCAUGUGACUAAAGGAGGGCGCAAACAAAACACCAACGGUGCAUUAACCGAGUCUCACCAGCAGUUAGAGCUGGCUGCUCCAUUUACAGCUGUGUUCACAGCUUAUCGGUUUUAAUUAGUACUUUGUUCGUCCACAAGAGUUACCGGCUGUUAAAUCGUAUAUAUACUACCAAAAAAGUGGCCAGCAAGAAAAAGCUAUUCGGUCCCACUAAUAUAUACUAUUUUUAUUUUAUGUGAUAAGUUAUAAAUUUUUAACAUGUUAUCAGGCCAUGUUCGCCUCAUGUAUGACACUGGACUGGGUCCCUGCAUAUGUGCCUUUAAGGGUAGAAUCCUGGUAGCCACCAGUUCGAUUCAAACAGUCGAGAUCUUAUCAAGACAAGGACCACCAGCAGGCGCAAGAGGCAUCGUCUCUUACGUGGAACACUGCCCCCACCGGGGCAUUCCUAUAUUAGGAGCAUGUCUUUGGCCCCCCUACCUCCAGCUCACAACCACCAGCUGUACUAGCCUUACACCCUACGUGGGCCGGCUCCAUCCACCGAAAUCCCAGCCCCAGACAACCAGAGCCUAGAUCAGAUGGGGGCAGUGAACCUCGCAUCAGAAUAAGAUACGCUUCUUCCAAUUGCAUUCGGGAGAUUGGUUAGUGCCUCGGCUAUGAUGAGAGGCUGAGGCUACCCAUCGCAGCAUCGUCAGCACCAGGAACCCCACUGCUGACUCAGCUAACCAGUCAAUUUACUAUGCUUUACACUCUUAGGUUCAGUACUGCUGGUGCCUACUCUUAUUCACCACAUUAUCUUGGGACUCCUAAAUCUCCCAGAAAACCCGUGCUCUAGUUGGGGCCUAUCCAACCUCUACUAACUUUCCAGGCUAUUGCCGGAGUGGUAUCCUGGCUAUGGCUUGUGAACCCUGCUCCAAGCAUUGGAGCACCUCCACCGAGUGAGAGACCUCCCCAACCUGAUACUGGGAUACUGUAGGAAAGCUCAGCGGGGAUCCGUUUACAAAGAAGGAUAAUCCCGCAUUACUACCAACUUCUAGUGACUAUUGGGUGGGUGGUGUACAGCUCGCUACCAACCGCCAGCCCCCAGAACACAGUGCACCUCGGCAGCCUCGGAUAGUUCCCCCGACCAUUUGUCAAAGCCGGUACAGCUCGGGUGACCCAACAGCAUUUCUCGACCUUUCCUAUACCAAUACCUUCGUCCCUUCACUGUGAGACAGGCUUUUGGGAUUCAGUGGUCACCAGGGCUCAGCAGUCGAACUCCCAGAAAGGUUCCUAUCACAUCUGCUGUUGCCCACAGAUUCCGUCCAUCCACCAUUAAUGUUACCCUUUCGGCAAAUGAGGAUGCCCGAGGCUGGGUUCCCCCGAUAUGGUCCUCUUUUGCAGAUCUUUCUAUCACUCAUCGGUGUCAAAUGGAGGCUGUGGUUUUCAGUAGUGUCGAAAAGCUAUAUCUUGGCAUCACUCCCUUUUCCAUGAGCGUUGGGUCCUGUCUUGGAUACUAGAGCUGGCAACAGCUCCGUCACCUUCCCACACAGGAGUCAGACCCACUCCCGACCAUAAAUUUUAACACAACUGUUUUCCAACCCGAAGAUCGGCAUCCUUCACCACUCCUUCCAAAUAUGCACCCUUUAGGGUAGAUCAGUUUUAAACUUCCAGAUAAAGUAAAUCAAGACUGAACUGUCAAGGGAUUACUCCCCCCUUUGAUCAGAGGCUAGGGUUACCAACCCAGCAUAGUCACCACCUUAGCCCCUGCCUCUCAUCUAACCAGACAGUUGGCUGUGUCCUUAGACCUUAUCAGCACUGCUGGCACCUAACAAUGGGUUUUUGACAUAACAUGGUAAUAUAUUUAGAUAUUUAUUAAAAAUUGUCAUGUUUAAGGAAUUCAAGAUUAAGGGGCCCGCCGAGUCAGCGGUUUGCUUGUGUCGGUGAGGCGGGAAUAGUUGGUGCUUCUAUUGCGGUAUCGCCUCUGAGAGCAAGGCUGUUUGUUGACUGGCGCGCGGGAAGCCUAAAGCCUAGUACACACUAGUAGACAUGUUGCGCGAUUUUUGUCUCUGAGACAUGUAUAGAGUUGUCUAUGUAGACAUGUCUAUAGACCAAUCGCCGUCUACGAGUCUGUUGCGAGGCAAAAAAUCGCAGGUCUAUGGUCUCCCGAUUGGAAUGGGAGACCAUAGACUGAAUACGACUGAUUGAAAAGUUCUUGUAUCAAGUAUAACAACAUUUUUGGUUCAACUAGUGUACUAAGAGCAUUCUGUAGUCUAUACAUAGGUUCAAAAAAGAGCAAUAGUAUUGUAAAACUGGAUAAUGGCCUCGCAGACCACUGGUACCAUUUGCGAUAUUGCCUGCUUAGAGAUUCUGAAGGUGUACAUGAGACUUUUGAAAGAGGAAACUCAGGGUGACAGCCAGUCGAAGAGAAGCUGGAAUAGUUUCUCUAAAUUUUGUAUUUUUCUUCAUUAUUAGUCCUCCAACCCUCAGAAGCAAAUCUUCAAAUUCAGCAGAUGUCAGCCGGGUAAAAUUUCGAAAAACCAUAGCGUCUUCCAGUCUUAAUUUAUUUAAUAACGUAUUACCGAACCUAGGUCCUUCUGCGAACACUUCAUGCGUCCACCAACGUUUACGUUUUCGCGUUCUUUCGCUUGCAAUUUAAUCAGGUACUCUUUCCGCACAAAACAAUGUCCUCCAUGAUGGACUGACGGAGACGAGACGAGAAAUUCAAAUCUUAGUGUGGAUGCUAGACGAGACGAAGGACGGUGCACAUAGACCAUAUCUCUAGACCGUCUAUAUACGGUCUGUAGACAAAUCGCGCAACAUGGUCUAUUAGUGUGUACUAGGCUAAGAUGUCCAUCAAGUUCUGUCCCUGCCCGAACUCGCCCGAAUAUAUUCACCUUCGGCCAACCUCGGGUUUAUUUAUAUAUAGGCCCUAUUUAUAUUUCUCUGUUUAUUUUAAUGUAGCUAUACUAACCUAACUAACCGUGUAUAGUGUUUUAAUGUAGCUAACCUAACCGACCACUUUUAAUAUUUGAAUUCAUUUUUCCUGCGAAAAAAUAAAACAAAACCCGAGGUUGACCGAAGGUGAAUAUUCGGGCGUGUUCGGGUAGGGACAGAACUUGAUGGACAUCUCCUCAGGCGCGCAGUCUUUUCGUUGUGCAUAGGGCAGCUAUAUUAUAUGGCGGAGAAAUUAAGACCAGGACGUAAUGCAAACCCCUUGUGUGCUUUCAAGAAUAUACCGGCAGGGCGAACACAGUUAUGUUUAUCGCCCUUCGUAGGGAUUACGUGUCAUCGGUAUGACACUUCACCACUAAAAGCGAGCAUGGAUUAUCUUUCGCCUCCUGGAAGACGCCUCAGCCACGACAGCCCCGUCAUACAUACGGCGGGAUGGUUUACCUGUGGACUCAUCAUAGCCGUCAUAUGCAGAAUCUUCGUCGGAAGGGAGUGGAAGAAAACGAGAAAGCAAGGUAUGAUUAUGCUUAAUUAUAUCUUAUUUAUUGUACUUAUAGUCUUUUAGGUUAUAUAUAUGUAUAUUUAUUGCUCAUUGAAUUUAUUUGGUUGCUUAUUUUAUAAUCCUGCAAUUAUUCACAUUCCUCAAAUAAACGUCAACAAAUGCAAACUAACCUAUAAAAGGUUUAAUGUGCUGUUAGAAAUAGUUUCUUGAUGACGUUGGAUGUUUGUAAAAACGUUUUGUUGUUAAAACUUAGGUAAUAUUCGAAUAAAAUCUAUAUACACUAUAUGAAACUAUUGAGACACAAACCUCCUUGUGGCUUUUAUUAUUUAAUAUAUAAAAUUAAUACGUGCAAUGUACGAAAAUGUAUCAUAUUUGAAAUCACUACUGUUAAUUUGUUUUAGGUGCGUGGGAUCUGAAGGGUUGGAGGUUUAAUACUUAGUCCAGCAAAUAAUACGAAGGUCGUCAAUGUAACAGACCGAGAAUGUAUCGCCUAUAGCCGGCGGUUACGAGACAGCUUGAACCCAUUUGAGCUGUGGGAAGUAGUUCAGAACUCUUUUUAUAAUGAAUUUGGAGCUGAGUGAAGUGCCGAGACCACAUCUUGAAGGUCAGCUAGCUGCUAAGUGGAGACUUCGCAACUCAACGGAUGAGAUACCUGCAGACCUUCGAAGAACAAGAGAGAGUGCGGAGACCAUAAGUAUAUUCGCAACAUUUACUUUCACUAAUUUUCUCAUUGUAGCCUAAAUACAUUUGACUGUAAAGUUUUUUUUUCCCAUAUCACGUAUCCAAGUUUAUCCCAUAAUCCUGGUGGUAUGAUCCUGUAAAUAUUGAUCUUGUGAUACAUGAUGCUUGGUUUUUUUUAACUUUGCAGGUCAAAAAAUCCUGAAUAAGACAAAAAUGUUAUAUAUCAUAAUGGAUAAUAAUAUUAAGUUAAAUAUAAAAGAACAUUUAUUUUGGGUUCAACUUUGUAGUUAUACAAGUUUUUGUUACACCCAGGAAGCUUUAAACAUACAAAAUGAAAACAGCAAGCAUCACCUACCAUAGGAUCAAAAUAUACAGAAUCAUUGGAUGAAAUUGGAUACGUGAUACAAACCUUUUACUGACAUUAAUUAUGGAGGAGCGGUUCACAUCUGAAAAAUAAUAAAAACUACAUUAAGUUCCCUACAUAAAGGGCAUUGUGGUAUUAAGUUGUUUACUAGUAGUUAACCAUUUACAUUGACUGGGUUAUAUUAGCUACAUAAAUACUGUAAAAUCAUGUGGACAUUAGUUCAUGUUACAUACAUUAAAAAUUCAGUUGGUUAUAUAAGGAACUUAACAAGAUUUUAUAAUAUUUUAACGAUAUAUAUAUUUCAUAUGUAGUUAACCUAACCUAAACAUCCAGGUACACUAUUUUAAAUGUAGCUAAUAUAAAAAUGGUUAACUAUCAGCAAGUAUUUAAUGUUUUGCUGUGCACCUGUAGAGAAUGAUAAGAAAAAUUGUCAGUAAUUAAGAAAAUGCAUUUUCAGAUUUUUGUUUGCUUUCUUUUCUGAAAUAGCCCUUUUCCUUGUAUCUAACCCAUUAAAAUGAAUAUGUAUUUUCAGCGAAAAGUUGUGCGAUAGUUGAUUAACCGUUUACUUACUUAAAAUGAUAGACAUUUGAUUCUGUUUCAUUCAGAAAGUAGUCUUUGAGGGCAGUCAAUUUGAAUUCUUGGCUAGUCUUCUUUACUUUCUUAGCGUAGUGUUUAUUUUGAAUUGCAAGUCAAGCACUUGAAACUGCUCAUAGUUACUGAAUAUAAAUCACUAAUUUUCCAAAUGUAUUUCAUGAUUUGCAUUGGUUAUGUUUGAGAUUCAUAACUUCCGAAGUAAUUUGAUGUUAUAAAUUGAAAUUAGUCUGGAAAUGGGGUAUUUAUUCAUAUUUUACAGACAUAAAUAUUUGUUGUUAACUGUUAUGAAUGAUUGCAGUGAAUACUAGGAUAGCCAUGAAUUUAUUCCACCAAUGUUAUUUUGUAGGUGAUUUCAGCCUUGUACCGAGCCACAUCUCCCGACUCCAGUAAGCAACGCUGAGGCCAGUUCUGCAGAGGAGCGGCAUACUCCGGUCCACUGCAGCGCCCGCGACCGUGUGGAGUCGUGAAGGACCGCCCUUUGACAGCAGGGCGCUCAGUAGCGUCUUGUGCUGUGUUCAGCAACAUGCUGAGCCACUACAGAAUAUUGGAACCAGAUGUGAUAGUUGGCGAACCAAUAGAAAGUCUUGUAGGUGAUGCUGGAGAACCUGCGGCCCAGGUUGUUGAGCAUCACUUUCAGAACUAAGCCAGGCAGUAUUUUACAUUACCACCUUUAAUGUUUUCCUGUUUUUAACCUCAUUUGACGCAGUGCAAAAAAUGACCAAUGAUUACAAAUUGCCUACAAUUUGUUACUUCCAUGUUUGUCAUGUACAUCGUACAUGGUGAAGAUAACACUUUCGUGUGGAAUACCAAAUCCAUAAUGGUAUUGGGAACACUAAUGCUGUAGUGCCUGAAUUUUUCGAUGACCUCUUCUAUUAAAAACUAUGUUGGCAGGCUGCCGACACUGGCCCAAUAGUGGUAGUCUUCAUGAAAAUGUUAGUAGGUGAUGCUAGCAUUACAGUUAAUAGAACUGUCUGUUAAAAAUAACAUUAUCUGUAACAUAUUUUAUUGUAAAUAACUGUUAAGUUUUUUCUUCUACUGUGAGAAACUUGCAGAAUUUUUAUAUUUACAUAUUUUAUCGAAAUGGCAGCUUGUAAAAAAGAACAUAUUUUCAACUGAUGGAAACCUAAACAUUUUAAAGUGUUUGGAUGAGCACAAAGGCACCAGAGUGUUAAUUGCUAAUAUGUUAGGGAUGCCUGUAACAAUUGUGAAUAAUCUUGAAAUCAUUGAAGGAACUGGUGCUCUGUGUGGUGGUUUUCCAAAGAAAAUCAUUCGUGCAGGUGUCUGAUGUUACUAUGAAUUGUUAAUUAAGGUAUGUACCUGUAUGUAUGCUUACCUAUACUCUAUACAGAAUGUAAAUAUGGGACUCUAAUGUUAAUUAUUCUAUUUAGAUGUGCUUCACAUUCUUAAUUAAUAUAAGAGUAUGGUAUGUUCAAUUAUUAUAAUAAUUAGUGGUGAUUUUUCGUUUUCGCGAAAUAGAUGCAAAAAUAUGCUAAAUUAUAUUUUUUCCGCUAUAAAAUGCGAAAUCUAGACUAGUCCGAGAUAAAUGCGAAAUCAAGGUAAAAAAACGUAGAUUCGUCUUCACUCUACACAAUUUAUUUACCGAUUGUAUUUCGUUUCAGUUCAGUAUCAAAAGAAACCAUCAUUUUAUGGCGUAUUGAGCACAAGUAUCAUAUUGUCACGUCAUUCACAACACUAUUGUUCGUAAAUAUUGAAUGAAGAAUGGCCAUCCGUGCCUCGCUAUUGUAAACAAAGCAAAGAACAACUAGCUGGAAGAUUGUCCAGAAUCUUGCAGAGUACAAGUUUUUAGGCCACCAUAUUGCGACAUCUCUGCUUCGCCGCGCCCAUUUUCUGUCUGUGUUUCACGUGAAAGCCUAGUUCUUGUGUUGUCUGUGGAAGUUGGUGUGUUUACAAAUACGUGCAUACUCGUGAAUGUGUUGUAUACUGUUAUUUCUCGUGGUAAAAAUGGGACGAAAUGUAAUUUCCAUUCGCGAUCGCAUAAAUGAAUACAAAAGUGAACAGUUCUAUGAAAGUGAUACAAAUAUUUUAAUGUGCAAUUUAUGUAAUUGCCGUCUGGAGUGGAAAAAAAAUUAUGUACUUGAAAAGCACAUUAAAUCUGAGGGACAUCAGGCUGCAAAAAAAAAAAAAAAAAAAAGGUUCACCGAGAAAUCGGAUGAAGGAAAAAAGUCGGUAAAACGGCAAGCAACGGUUUCUGGCAUAAUCGAAAACCAAAAGAAUUUGAAAAAACGAGUUUCAAUAACAUUGUUUGUGCACUCUACAUCACUAUGGCCAUGAACACGGCUAAAAAAUAUUUAUUGUAAUUUUAAGUAUUCAAUUUAUUGCACUCAUAAGUGCUAAAAAGUUGUUUGGAAACCUGCCAAGAUAGGCUAUCUUUGUAGUUGUGCUAGAUCUUUAUUUCUGAGUUUUUUAAUAAUUAAUAUGUGUAUUAUUUAAUGCUUUUUAAAAAUAUACUUUUCUUCAGUAAUAUAAAAUGAGAGAAUUUGCUAAAUCUUGUUUUUAAAAAUGCUACAAAAUGCUAAAAUUCAAAUUCAAAAUGGUAAAUGUUAUUAUUUUAAAUGCUAUAAAUCACCAUCUCUAAUAAUAAUACAUUUCUCUGAGCAAAAAAUAACUUCAUGAAACUUUUCCCACAGUUUACAUUUACAGACACUCCCUUGAAUAGUGUAAACAUGUGGUUUGACUGUAUUUAUACAUUUACUUAUACUUUCUCAUUUCAUGGCAUUAUUGUACAUAGAUUUAACAUUACUUAUAUCAAGAGUAAUAUGGCAUUUUUUGUGUACAUAUGCAUGUGCCAUUCUAAAAAAUAAUUUCUAAUGCAGUGUUUCGUUUCAAAAUAGUAUGAAAUUGUCUCUAAGAGUUUUUUUGUGUAAUUGUAUAAUUUGUAGGGUUAGGCAACCAAAUCAAUUUUCCAUUAAUAUGAAAUGUUUUGCAAAACAACUAUUUACAAAUUAGAGAGGAAAUGGAGAUACUUAUUUUAGAACCCUAGAUAUUCACCUACAGUAGAACCCCUUUUUUACACUAUUGAAAGGGGUGUCUGAAAAUGUUGUGACAUGCGAGAAAGUGUAAAAUAAGGGAAAUGUAUGAAAAAUCCUUUUUUCUCUCGGAGAACUGUGAUAUUAUAUUACCUAAACAUAUUGUAUCCUGAUAUACACACAAUAAUUCAUUAUUAGGUUCUGAAGCAAAUAUAAAAAAAAUAAUUAUACACUUUAGUCCCAUAUUUACAUUCUGUAGAGUGUAUAGGUAAGCAUAAAGUCUAUGUACAUACUUUCAUACUUAAAUUUUCAUUUCAUAAUAUGAUAUUUACAGGUUAAUAAUAUUACCAAUAAUGUCAUAAAACAUAAGGAAAGUACUAAAGUAAAAGUUAUAUUUUUCAAAGGACAAAAAA